RNAcentral lists this ribosomal RNA (253 nucleotides) under uncultured bacterium. Its description in RNAcentral is "partial 16S ribosomal RNA". It matches the Rfam family "Bacterial small subunit ribosomal RNA", at positions 524 to 776 of the family's 1533-position model. The record is from RNAcentral.
UACGUAGGGUGCAAGCGUUGUCCGGAAUUAUUGGGCGUAAAGAGCUCGUAGGCGGUUUGUCACGUCGGAUGUGAAAAUCCAGGGCUCAACCCUGGACCUGCAUUCGAUACGGGCAGGCUAGAGUUCGGUAGGGGAGACUGGAAUUCCUGGUGUAGCGGUGAAAUGCGCAGAUAUCAGGAGGAACACCGAUGGCGAAGGCAGGUCUCUGGGCCGAUACUGACGCUGAGGAGCGAAAGCGUGGGGAGCGAACAGG